CUACGGGGGGGCUGCAGUGAGGAAUAUUGCACAAUGGGGGGAACCCUGAUGCAGCAACGCCGCGUGGAGGAUGACGCAUUUCGGUGUGUAAACUCCUUUUAUAUGUCAAGAAAAUGACGGUAGCAUAUGAAUAAGCGCCGGCUAACUCCGUGCCAGCAGCCGCGGUAAUACGGAGGGCGCAAGCGUUACUCGGAAUCACUGGGCGUAAAGGACGCGUAGGCGGGUUGAAAAGUCAGGUGUGAAAGCCUACAGCUUAACUGUAGAACUGCACUUGAAACUCUCAAUCUAGAGUAUGGGAGGGGCAGAUGGAAUUAGUGGUGUAGGGGUAAAAUCCGUAGAUAUCACUAGGAAUACCUAAAGCGAAGGCGAUCUGCUGGAACAUUACUGACGCUAAGGCGUGAAAGCGUGGGGAGCAAACAGGAUUAAUACCCGAGUAGUC
Molecule: ribosomal RNA, 439 nt
Filed under: uncultured bacterium
Lineage: Bacteria
Description: partial 16S ribosomal RNA
Rfam family: Bacterial small subunit ribosomal RNA
Source: RNAcentral